RNAcentral lists this ribosomal RNA (253 nucleotides) under uncultured bacterium. RNAcentral describes it as "partial 16S ribosomal RNA". It matches the Rfam family "Bacterial small subunit ribosomal RNA", at positions 524 to 776 of the family's 1533-position model. The record is from RNAcentral.
UACAGAGGUCUCAAGCGUUGUUCGGAAUCACUGGGCGUAAAGGGUGCGUAGGCGGCACGGUAAGUCAGAGGUGAAAUCCCGGAGCUCAACUUCGGAAUUGCCUCCGAUACUGCCGUGCUUGAGGACUGGAGAGGAGAUUGGAAUUCACAGUGGAGCAGUGAAAUGCGUAGAUAUUGUGAGGAACACUAGGGGCGAAGGCGAAUCUCUGGACAGUUCCUGACGCUGAGGCACGAAGGCCAGGGGAGCAAACGGG